Octodon degus (degu) is the source of this 210-nucleotide long non-coding RNA. RefSeq lists it as uncharacterized. NCBI's taxonomy places the organism in Eukaryota, Metazoa, Chordata, Mammalia, Rodentia, Octodontidae. The transcript has 3 exons. The record is from RefSeq and is a predicted model, not a curated record.
UGCUGGGUUGGGGAGUCCUAAACUGCAGAGAUUAUCUGAGGACCAAAUGCGUCCUCUUCCCCAGGGUCACUGUGUCUACCAGGAGUGUUUUGGCUGUGUUGGGUGGAAGACACAGCUGCAAGCAAAACUGGGGCAGUAUUUCUAGGUGGAACAUAAUGGACACCAUCCUUGUGUCAGUGCAGAGGCCACGAUGACAACCCAGGGCAAGGG